GAUGAACGCUGGCGGCGUGCCUAAUACAUGCAAGUCGAGCGAACGGACGAGAAGCUUGCUUCUCCGAUGUUAGCGGCGGACGGGUGAGUAACACGUGGAUAACCUACCUAUAAGACUGGGAUAACUUCGGGAAACCGGAGCUAAUACCGGAUAAUAUUUUGAACCGCAUGGUUCAAAAGUGAAAGACGGUCUUGCUGUCACUUAUAGAUUGAUCCGCGCUGCAUUAGCUAGUUGGUAAGGUAACGGCUUACCAAGGCAACGAUGCAUAGCCGACCUGAGAGGGUGAUCGGCCACACUGGAACUGAGACACGGUCCAGACUCCUACGGGAGGCAGCAGUAGGGAAUCUUCCGCAAUGGGCGAAAGCCUGACGGAGCAACGCCGCGUGAGUGAUGAAGGUCUUCGGAUCGUAAAACUCUGUUAUUAGGGAAGAACAUAUGUGUAAGUAACUGUGCACAUCUUGACGGUACCUAAUCAGAAAGCCACGGCUAACUACGUG
RNAcentral lists this ribosomal RNA (497 nucleotides) under uncultured bacterium. RNAcentral describes it as "partial 16S ribosomal RNA". It matches the Rfam family "Bacterial small subunit ribosomal RNA", at positions 28 to 507 of the family's 1533-position model. The record is from RNAcentral.